This 232-nucleotide long non-coding RNA is filed under the name Capra hircus (goat). RNAcentral describes it as "lncRNA (ENSCHIG00000005987.1)". Lineage: Eukaryota; Metazoa; Chordata; Mammalia; Artiodactyla; Bovidae. The record is from RNAcentral.
CUGACUGUGAGCUGGGUCAAACAGAGUACCACUCAAAAGUCAAAAGCAGAAGGCAGUAUCUGUUGUCAGAUUGUGGGAAUGUAGCCAAAAGAUCAGUAACAACAGAAAAAGCUGGGAAAGGGAGAUGACAGUGCCAACCUCGCAGAGUGAGGAGGAGGGAAAUGGCAGUCAAGAAACCAGCAGCUGACACAGAGCAGGCAGGUAAUCAGUGAUGGUCAUUAUCCCUUCCCCU